UGGCAUCUCACAUUAUAGUAAUGCAAUUUAUGAUAUUGAAGUUUGUUUUGUAAAAAAAUUCAUGAAUGGACAUAAAACUCUGAUUUUGAAGUUGUUCAGCUGUUUAAUGGAGUAUGUUUAAGCAAUUGAAAAGGGCAUUUGCCAAUCUAUAGUGUAUGCUGCUCUUUUUGUUAUUUAUUUGUCAAUGCAAAUCCAGUCUAUAGUGUAUGCUAAUGUACUUAAGAUCAAUCAAACUAGGAUUUCUUUGCUUUGUAUGUUUUUGUUCUUUCUUCUAUUGGUGUCUAAUUGCAAA
This 292-nucleotide unclassified non-coding RNA is filed under the name Hevea brasiliensis (rubber tree). The record is from RNAcentral. Lineage: Eukaryota; Viridiplantae; Streptophyta; Magnoliopsida; Malpighiales; Euphorbiaceae.